This 446-nucleotide ribosomal RNA is filed under the name uncultured bacterium. Its description in RNAcentral is "partial 16S ribosomal RNA". It matches the Rfam family "Bacterial small subunit ribosomal RNA", at positions 338 to 795 of the family's 1533-position model. The record is from RNAcentral.
CCUACGGGUGGCAGCAGUCGAGAAUCAUUCACAAUGGGGGAAACCCUGAUGGUGCGACGCCGCGUGGGGGAAUGAAGGUCUUCGGAUUGUAAACCCUUGUCAUGUGGGAGCAAAUGAAAAAGAUAGUACCACAAGAGGAAGAGACGGCUAACUCCGUGCCAGCAGCCGCGGUAAUACAGAGGUCUCAAGCGUUGUUCGGAAUCACUGGGCGUAAAGCGUGCGUAGGCUGGUUUGUAAGUCGUAUGUGAAAGGCGUGGGCUCAACCCGCGGACGGCACAUGAUACUGCGAGACUAGAGUAAUGGAGGGGGAAGUGGAAUUCUUGGUGUAGCAGUGAAAUGCGUAGAUAUCGAGAGGAACACUCGUGGCGAAGGCGAGUUCCUGGACAUUAACUGACGCUGAGGCGCGAAGGCCAGGGGAGCGAAAGGGAUUAGAUACCCGUGUAGUC